UUUGUACCUCAAAUAACUUUUUCCACAGACAACUUAGCACAUCGGCGUAGCAUAACUUUUGGUAGCUAAUGACCAGAUCUAUCCAAAUAUGUGCUACAAUUGAAGAUCCAUUGGAAACUGACCGAGUUAUAAGCAUCCAAAGUGGCAAAAUGAGGAAUUUUUUUGGAAAAGUUGAGAAAAUGUUAAGUCUUUGUACCUCGAAUAACUUUUUCCACAGACAACUUAGCACAUCGGCGUAGAAUAACUUUUGGUAGCUAAUGACCAGAUCUAUCCAAAUAUGUGCUACAAUUGAAGAUCCAUUGGAAACUGACGAGUUAUAAGCAUCCAAAGUGGCAAAAUGAGGAAUUUUUUUGGAAAAGUUGAGAAAAUGUUAAGUCUUUGUACCUCGAAUAACUUUUUCCACAGACAACUUAGCACAUCGGCGUAGAAUAACUUUUGGUAGCUAAUGACCAGAUCUAUUCAAAUAUGUGCUACAAUUGAAGAUCCAUGGAAACUGACCGAGUUAUAAGCAUCCAAAGUGGCAAAAUGAGGAAUUUUUUUAGAAAAAUUGAGAAAAUGUUAAGUCUUUGUACCUCAAAUAACUUUUUCCACAGACAACUUAGCACAUCGGCGUAGAAUAACUUUUGGUAGCUAAUAACCAGAUCUAUCCAAAUAUGUGCUACAAUUGAAGAUCCAUUGGAAACUGACCGAGUUAUAAGCAUCCAAAGUGGCAAAAUGAGGAAUUUUUUUAGAAAAAUUGAGAAAAUGUUAAGUCUUUGUACCUCGAAUAACUUUUUCCACAGACAACUUAGCACAUCGGCGUAGAAUAACUUUUGGUAGCUAAUGACCAGAUCUAUCCAAAUAUGUGCUACAAUUGAAGAUCCAUUGGAAACUGACCGAGUUAUAAGCAUCCAAAGUGGCAAAAUGAGGAAUUUUUUGGAAAAGUUGAGAAAAUGUUAAGUCUUUGUACCUCGAAUAACUUUUUCCACAGACAACUUAGCACAUCGGCGUAGAAUAACUUUUGGUAGCUAAUGACCAGAUCUAUCCAAAUAUGUGCUACAAUUGAAGAUCCAUUGGAAACUGACCGAGUUAUAAGCAUCCAAAGUGGCAAAAUGAGGAAUUUUUUUGGAAAAGUUGAGAAAAUGUUAAGUCUUUGUACCUCGAAUAACUUUUUCCACAGACAACUUAGCACAUCGGCGUAGAAUAACUUUUGGUAGCUAAUGACCAGAUCUAUCCAAAUAUGUGCUACAAUUGAAGAUCCAUUGGAAACUGACCGAGUUAUAAGCAUCCAAAGUGGCAAAAUGAGGAAUUUUUUUGGAAAAGUUGAGAAAAUGUUAAGUCUUUGUACCUCAAAUAACUUUUUCCACAGACAACUUAGCACAUCGGCGUAGAAUAACUUUUGGUAGCUAAUGACCAGAUCUAUCCAAAUAUGUGCUACAAUUGAAGAUCCAUUGGAAACUGACCGAGUUAUAAGCAUCCAAAGUGGCAAAAUGAGGAAUUUUUUUGGAAAAGUUGAGAAAAUGUUAAGUCUUUGUACCUCAAAUAACUUUUUCCACAGACAACUUAGCACAUCGGCGUAGAAUAACUUUUGGUAGCUAAUGACCAGAUCUAUCCAAAUAUGUGCUACAAUUGAAGAUCCAUUGGAAACUGACCGAGUUAUAAGCAUCCAAAGUGGCAAAAUGAGGAAUUUUUUUAGAAAAAUUGAGAAAAUGUUAAGUCUUUGUACCUCAAAUAACUUUUUCCACAGACAACUUAGCACAUCGGCGUAGAAUAACUUUUGGUAGCUAAUAACCAGAUCUAUCCAAAUAUGUGCUACAAUUGAAGAUCCAUUGGAAACUGACCGAGUUAUAAGCAUCCAAAGUGGCAAAAUGAGGAAUUUUUUGGAAAAGUUGAGAAAAUGUUAAGUCUUUGUACCUCGAAUAACUUUUUCCACAGACAACUUAGCACAUCGGCGUAGAAUAACUUUUGGUAGCUAAUGACCAGAUCUAUCCAAAUAUGUGCUACAAUUGAAGAUCCAUUGGAAACUGACCGAGUUAUAAGCAUCCAAAGUGGCAAAAUGAGGAAUUUUUUUGGAAAAGUUGAGAAAAUGUUAAGUCUUUGUACCUCGAAUAACUUUUUCCACAGACAACUUAGCACAUCGGCGUAGAAUAACUUUUGGUAGCUAAUGACCAGAUCUAUUCAAAUAUGUGCUACAAUUGAAGAUCCAUUGGAAACUGACCGAGUUAUAAGCAUCCAAAGUGGCAAAAUGAGGAAUUUUUUUAGAAAAAUUGAGAAAAUGUUAAGUCUUUGUACCUCAAAUAACUUUUUCCACAGACAACUUAGCACAUCGGCGUAGAAUAACUUUUGGUAGCUGAUGAGCAGAUCUUUCCAAAUCUGUGUUACAAUUGAAGAUCCAUCGGAAACUGACCGAGUUAUAAGCAUCCAAAGUGGCAAAAUGAGGAAUUUUUUAGGAAAAAUUGAGAAAAUUUUAAGUCUUUGUACCUCAAAUAACUUUUUCCACCGACAUCUGAGCAUAUCGGCAUGGAACAACUUAUAUUAGCCAAUGAGCUGAUCUAUCCAAAUCUGUGUUACAACUGAAGAUCCGUCGAAAACUGACCGAGUUAUGAGCAUGCAAAGUGGCAAAAUGAGGAAUUUUUUAGAAAAACCGAGAAAAUGUUAAGUCUUUGUAUCUCGAAUAACUUUUUCCACAGACAUUUGAGCAUAUCGGCAUGGAACAACUUAUGGUAGCCAAUGAGCUGAUCUAUCAAAAUCUGUGUUACAACUGAAGAUCCGUCGAAAACUGACCGAGUUAUGAGCAUGCAAAGUAUCAUAAUGAGAAUUUCUUUAGAAAAACCGAGAAAAUGUUAAGUCUUUGUAUCUCGAAUAACUUUUUCCACAGACAUCUGAGCAUAUCGGCAUGGAACAACUUAUGGUAGCCAAUGAGCUGAUCUAUCCAAAUCUGUGUUACAACUGAAGAUCCGUCGAAAACUGACCGAGUUAUGAGCAUGCAAAGUAUCAUAAUGAGAAUUUCUUUAGAAAAACCGAGAAAAUGUUAAGUCUUUGUAUCUCGAAUAACUUUUUCCACAGACAUCUGAGCAUAUCGGCAUGGAACAACUUAUGGUAGCCAAUGAGCUGAUCUAUCCAAAUCUGUGAUACAACUGAAGAUCCGUCGAAAACUGACCGAGUUAUGAGCAUGCAAAGUGGCAAAAUGAGGAAUUUUUUAGAAAAACCGAGAAAAUGUUAAGUCUUUGUAUCUCGAAUAACUUUUUCCACAAACAUUUGAGCAUAUCGGCAUGGAACAACUUAUGGUAGACAAUGAGCAGAUCUAUCCAAAUCUGUGUUACAAUUGAAGAUCCGUCGAAAACUGACCGAGUUAUGAGCAUGCAAAGUAGCAAAAUGAGGAAUUUUUUAGAAAAACCGAGAAAAUGUUAAGUCUUUGUAUCUCGAAUAACUUUUUCCACAGACAUCUGAGCAUAUCGGCAUGGAACAACUUAUGGUAGCCAAUGAGCUGAUCUAUCCAAAUCUGUGAUACAACUGAAGAUCCGUCGAAAACUGACCGAGUUAUGAGCAUGCAAAGUGGCAAAAUGAGGAAUUUUUUAGAAAAACCGAGAAAAUGUUAAGUCUUUGUAUCUCGAAUAACUUUUUCCACAAACAUUUGAGCAUAUCGACAUGGAACAACUUAUGGUAGACAAUGAGCAGAUCUAUCCAAAUCUGUGUUACAAUUGAAGAUCCGUCGAAAACUGACCGAGUUAUGAGCAUGCAAAGUAGCAAAAUGAGGAAUUUUUUAGAAAAACCGAGAAAAUGUUAAGUCUUUGUAUCUCGAAUAACUUUUUCCACAGACAUCUGAGCAUAUCGGCAUGGAACAACUUAUGGUAGCCAAUGAGCUGAUCUAUCCAAAUCUGUGUUACAACUGAAGAUCCGUCGAAAACUGACCGAGUUAUGAGCAUGCAAAGUAUCAUAAUGAGAAUUUCUUUAGAAAAACCGAGAAAAUGUUAAGUCUUUGUAUCUCGAAUAACUUUUUCCACAGACAUCUGAGCAUAUCGGCAUGGAACAACUUAUGGUAGCCAAUGAGCUGAUCUAUCCAAAUCUGUGAUACAACUGAAGAUCCGUCGAAAACUGACCGAGUUAUGAGCAUGCAAAGUGGCAAAAUGAGGAAUUUUUUAGAAAAACCGAGAAAAUGUUAAGUCUUUGUAUCUCGAAUAACUUUUUCCACAAACAUUUGAGCAUAUCGGCAUGGAACAACUUAUGGUAGACAAUGAGCAGAUCUAUCCAAAUCUGUGUUACAACUGAAGAUACGUCGAAAACUGACCGAGUUAUGAGCAUGCAAAGUGGCAAAAUGAGGAAUUUUUUAGAAAAACCGAGAAAAUGUUAAGUCUUUGUAUCUCGAAUAACUUUUUCCACAGACAUCUGAGCAUAUCGGCAUGAAACAACUUAUGGUAGCCAAUGAGCAGAUCUAUCCAAAUCUGUGUUACAACUGAAGAUCCGUCGAAAACUGAUCGAGUUAUGAGCAUGCAAAUUGGCAAAAUGAGGAAUUUUUUAGAAAAACCGAGAAAAUGUUAAGUCUCUGUAUCUCGAAUAACUUUUUCCACAGACAUCUGAGCAUAUCGGCAUGAAACAACUUAUGGUAGCCAAUGAGCAGAUCUAUCCAAAUCUGUGUUACAAUUGAAGAUCCGUCGAAAACUGACCGAGUUAUGAGCAUGCAAAGUAGCAAAAUGAGGAAUUUUUUUAGAAAAAUUGAGAAAAUGUUAAGUCUUUGUAUCUCGAAUAACUUUUUCCACAGACAUCUGAGCAUAUCGGCAUGGAACAACUUAUGGUAGCCAAUGAGCUGAUCUAUCAAAAUCUGUGUUACAACUGAAGAUACGUCGAAAACUGACCGAGUUAUGAGCAUGCAAAGUGGCAAAAUGAGGAAUUUUUUAGAAAAACCGAGAAAAUGUUAAGUCUUUGUAUCUCGAAUAACUUUUUCCACAGACAUCUGAGCACAUCGACGUGAAACAACUUAUGGUAGUCAAUGAGCAGAUCUAUCCAAAUCUGUGUUACAAUUGAAGAUCCGUCGAAAACUGACCGAGUUAUGAGCAUGCAAAGUGGCAAAAUGAGGAAUUUUUUAGAAAAACCGAGAAAAUGUUAAGUCUUUGUAUCUCGAAUAACUUUUUCCACAGACAUCUGAGCAUAUCGGCAUGGAACAACUUAUGGUAGCCAAUGAGCUGAUCUAUCAAAAUCUGUGUUACAACUGAAGAUACGUCGAAAACUGACCGAGUUAUGAGCAUGCAAAGUGGCAAAAUGAGGAAUUUUUUAGAAAAACCGAGAAAAUGUUAAGUCUUUGUAUCUCGAAUAACUUUUUCCACAGACAUCUGAGCACAUCGACGUGAAACAACUUAUGGUAGUCAAUGAGCAGAUCUAUCCAAAUCUAUGUUACAAUUGAAGAUCCGUCGAAAACUGACCGAGUUAUGAGCAUGCAAAGUAGCAAAAUGAGGAAUUUUUUAGAAAACCGAGAAAAUGUUAAGUCUUUGUAUCUCGAAUAACUUUUUCCACAGACAUCUGAGCAUAUCGGCAUGGAACAACUUAUGGUAGCCAAUGAGCUGAUCUAUCAAAAUCUGUGUUACAACUGAAGAUCCGUCGAAAACUGACCGAGUUAUGAGCAUGCAAAGUGGCAAAAUGAGGAAUUUUUUAGAAAAACCGAGAAAAUGUUAAGUCUUUGUAUCUCGAAUAACUUUUUCCACAGACAUCUGAGCCAAACGACAUGGAACAACUUAUGGUAGCCAAUGAGCAGAUCUAUCAAAAUCUGUGUUACAACUGAAGAUACGUCGAAAACUGACCAAUUUAUGAGCAUGCAAAGUGGCAAAAUGAGGAAUUUUUUAGAAAAACCGAGAAAAUGUUAAGUCUUUGUAUCUCGAAUAACUUUUUCCACAGACAUCUGAGCAUAUCGGCAUGGAACAACUUAUGGUAGCCAAUGAGCUGAUCUAUCCAAAUCUGUGUUACAACUGAAGAUCCGUCGAAAACUGACCGAGUUAUGAGCAUGCAAAGUGGCAAAAUGAGGAAUUUUUUAGAAAAACCGAGAAAAUGUUAAGUCUUUGUAUCUCGAAUAACUUUUUCCACAGACAUCUGAGCAUAUCGGCAUGGAACAACUUAUGGUAGCCAAUGAGCUGAUCUAUCAAAAUCUGUGUUACAACUGAAGAUACGUCGAAAACUGACCGAGUUAUGAGCAUGCAAAGUGGCAAAAUGAGGAAUUUUUUAGAAAAACCGAGAAAAUGUUAAGUCUUUGUAUCUCGAAUAACUUUUUCCACAGACAUCUGAGCACAUCGACGUGAAACAACUUAUGGUAGUCAAUGAGCAGAUCUAUCCAAAUCUGUGUUACAAUUGAAGAUCCGUCGAAAACUGACCGAGUUAUGAGCAUGCAAAGUAGCAAAAUGAGGAAUUUUUUAGAAAAACCGAGAAAAUGUUAAGUCUUUGUAUCUCGAAUAACUUUUUCCACAGACAUCUGAGCAUAUCGGCAUGGAACAACUUAUGGUAGCCAAUGAGCUGAUCUAUCAAAAUCUGUGUUACAACUGAAGAUCCGUCGAAAACUGACCGAGUUAUGAGCAGGCAAAGUGGCAAAAUGAGGAAUUUUUUAGAAAAACCGAGAAAAUGUUAAGUCUUUGUAUCUCGAAUAACUUUUUCCACAGACAUCUGAGCAUAUCGGCAUAAAACAACUUAUGGUAGCCAAUGAGCUGAUCUAUCAAAAUCUGUGUUACAACUGAAGAUCCGUCGAAAACUGACCGAGUUAUGAGCAUGCAAAGUGGCAAAAUGAGGAAUUUUUUAGAAAAACCGAGAAAAUGUUAAGUCUUUGUAUCUCGAAUAACUUUUUCCACAGACAUCUGAGCCAAACGACGUGGAACAACUUAUGGUAGCCAAUGAGCAGAUCUAUCAAAAUCUGUGUUACAACUGAAGAUACGUCGAAAACUGACCGAGUUAUGAGCAUGCAAAGUGGCAAAAUGAGGAAUUUUUUAGAAAAACCGAGAAAAUGUUAAGUCUUUGUAUCUCGAAUAACUUUUUCCACAGACAUCUGAGCACAUCGACGUGAAACAACUUAUGGUAGUCAAUGAGCAGAUCUAUCCAAAUCUGUGUUACAAUUGAAGAUCCGUCGAAAACUGACCGAGUUAUGAGCAUGCAAAGUAGCAAAAUGAGGAAUUUUUUAGAAAAACCGAGAAAAUGUUAAGUCUUUGUAUCUCGAAUAACUUUUUCCACAGACAUCUGAGCAUAUCGGCAUGGAACAACUUAUGGUAGCCAAUGAGCUGAUCUAUCAAAAUCUGUGUUACAACUGAAGAUCCGUCGAAAACUGACCGAGUUAUGAGCAUGCAAAGUGGCAAAAUGAGGAAUUUUUUAGAAAAACCGAGAAAAUGUUAAGUCUUUGUAUCUCGAAUAACUUUUUCCACAGACAUCUGAGCAUAUCGGCAUGGAACAACUUAUGGUAGCCAAUGAGCUGAUCUAUCAAAAUCUGUGUUACAACUGAAGAUCCGUCGAAAACUGACCGAGUUAUGAGCAUGCAAAGUAGCAAAAUGAGGAAUUUUUAAGAAAAACCGAGAAAAUGUUAAGUCUUUCUAUCUCGAAUAACUUUUUCCACAGACAUCUGAGCCAAACGAUGUGAAACAACUUAUGGUAGCCAAUGAGCAGAUCUAUCCAAAUCUGUGUUACAAUUGAAGAUCCGUCGAAAACUGACCGAGUUAUGAGCAUGCAAAGUGGCAAAAUGAGGAAUUUUUUAGAAAAACCGAGAAAAUGUUAAGUCUUUCUAUCUCGAAUAACUUUUUCCACAGACAUCUGAGCCAAACGAUGUGAAACAACUUAUGGUAGCCAAUGAGCAGAUCUAUCCAAAUCUGUGUUACAAUUGAAGAUCCGUCGAAAACUGACCGAGUUAUGAGCAUGCAAAGUAGCAAAAUGAGGAAUUUUUAAGAAAAACCGAGAAAAUGUUAAGUCUUUCUAUCGCGAAUAACUUUUUCCACAGACAUCUGAGCCAAACGACGUGAAAAAACUUAUGGUAGCCAAUGAGCAGAUCUAUCCAAAUCUGUGCUACAAUUGAAGAUCCGUCGAAAACUGACCGAGUUAUGAGCAUGCAAAGUAGCAAAAUAAGGAUUUUUUUUGAAAAACCGAGAAAAUGUUUAGUCUUUGUAUCUCGAAUAACUUUUUCCACAGACAUCUGAGCCAAACGACGUGGAACAACUUAUGGUAGCCAAUGAGCAGAUCUAUCCAAAUCUGUGCUACAAUUGAAGAUCCGUCGAAAACUGACCGAGUUAUGAGCAUGCAAAGUAGCAAAAUAAGGAUUUUUUUAGAAAAACCGAGAAAAUGUUAAGUCUUUGUAUCUCGAAUAACUUUUUCCACAGACAUCUGAGCAUAUCGACAUGGAACAACUUAUGGUAGCCAAUGAGCUGAUCUAUUCAAAUCUGUGUUACAACUGAAGAUCCGUCGAAAACUGACCGAGUUAUGAGCAUGCAAAGUGGCAAAAUAAGGAAUUUUUUAGAAAAACCGAGAAAAUGUUAAGUCUUUGUACCUCGA
Anopheles funestus (African malaria mosquito) is the source of this 8481-nucleotide long non-coding RNA. RefSeq lists it as uncharacterized. The transcript is spliced from 3 exons. The record is from RefSeq and is a predicted model, not a curated record. NCBI's taxonomy places the organism in Eukaryota, Metazoa, Arthropoda, Insecta, Diptera, Culicidae.